RNAcentral lists this long non-coding RNA (1029 nucleotides) under Ornithorhynchus anatinus (platypus). RNAcentral's name for it is "lncRNA (ENSOANG00000043689.1)". Lineage: Eukaryota; Metazoa; Chordata; Mammalia; Monotremata; Ornithorhynchidae. The record is from RNAcentral.
GAUCGGUCCCCAGAGGCCGCCUCGGGGCUGUCCAUCACGUCGCCCCCUCCCUUCCUAUUUGUCCCCCGGCUCUUAGACCCGCCCCCUUCCGCUCAGCCCCUACCCCUUCCUAAUUGGCCCCCCUCGCCCCCACCGACCAUCUACACCUCUCUGCCCCUCCCGGCCUCGCUCUCCGAUUGGCUCCGGACCCCACCCCUCCUCGCCUCUUCCUCCCCCCCCCCCGACGCCCACCUUCCGUCCCCAUCCAGGUGGCCGAUUGGCCGUCGACGGCGGCGUCCUCCCUUCCGAUUGGUCGGAGCGCGGCGAAGGGGCGGGGGGAGUGGCGCGCGGUGGCGCGCAAGCGCGCGCGGAAGGGGCGGGGAGGGGGGGGGAAAGGUUAGGCCGAGCGCCGCGCGUGCGCGGUGGCGCAAAGACGGCCGCCGACUGAGGAGGUGGGGGGGGGGAGGGGCGGCGGGAGGUGUGAGAGGGCGUGAGGGAGACCCUCGUGAGGCGCCCGGUCGCGCCCGCCGCCCCCUCGCCGCCGCCUUCGGGGGUCCGGGCCCACCGCGCCCUCGCCCCCCGUCGAGGGGGGGGCGUCCCGCCGGGCGGGCGGGGGGAUGUGAGGGGGCCGCCGGUCCCGGGGCCCGCGCCAUGGAGACGGGCCCGGCGGCCCCCCCGCGCCGCCACGGCGCCUCGGCCGCCCCGUCCCCGCCCCCGCGGGCGUCCCGGGCGGGGCCCGUGCUGGUGGUGGCCCCCGGGCCCCCCGUGAGCACGGCCGCCUCGGCCCCCGUGCCCCUGGCCCGCCCCCGCCGAGGCCCGGCCGGUCCUUCCCCCCCUCCCCGGGGCGCCCCCCCCGCCCACGGUGGUGCUCCUCACCCUGAGGGCCGUCACGCCCGACCCUCCCGGAGCCCGGUGGGAAGGCGUGGCCGCCCCGUCGACGGACGAAGGCCUCCGCUCGACGCCCCGGCCUCGAAGGGGACGGCGCCGCCCGCCGGGACGCCCCGGGCUCGGCCGCGUCGCCUCCGCCCGCCGGACCCGACGGCAGGGUGA